AACAGAGAUAGCUGCAGUUCUCUGAAAUCUGUACAAAAUGUGUGCUUUUAAACUUGCCUAUCACAAAUCUCUUCAUAACAGUUCACAUUUAUGACAAAAAAUAAUAAGAGAAAGAAAAAGAGGAAAAGGAGAGAAAGAAGAGGAGAAGAGAAGAGAAGAGAAGAGAAGAGAAGAGAAGAGAAGAGAAGAGAAGAGAAAUCAAUUGAAGCCAGGAUGCUAAGACUAAGGCUGAAUAUUCAGAGCAUUUGAUUGAGCUGAAAACAAGAGGACAAGCCAUUUUGCCCCUAUUUGAAUCAGUCAUUUGAAGAGUUUCAAGCUCAGACAAGUUUUGAUGAGUUUGAACUGAAGUAGAAAGUAUUACAGCUGGACUCUGACUUACCAAGGUGCUUCGGCAAACUGACACGAGAGGGCUGAUGACGAGGGGAGGAAGAAUUUGCAUGUUUGAGGAAACGGCACAAAACUUCUUACUUGGUAUGGUGCUUCACCAGGGACUAUCGUUCAUUGGCAUAACAUUCAGAGUUUGAAGCCUUGUCUAAUAUGACCUUCAGGGUGCUUUCCUGACCUACUGCUUUCCAGAAUGCAGAAACACAAUGUUUUUGGUUGUCCUCAAAUGUAUACACUGGGUUUGUUUAUACCAAAACAUUUAGCAAGACCAGCUUGUAAUUUACUUUCUAAAUCUCUUUAAAAACAUAUCACAGUAUUUCUUCAGAUACUCUUGUCCAGUAAAUCACUGUUUGUUAAUUUGUUGUUGAGAUAUGUCAGCUGAAUGGCCCUAAUCUGUUUAAUGUAUGCUGUAUCAAGUGUUUUAUUGCAAUAAUGGGGUUUCACUGAGAAACCGACCAAUGUCUUGCAAACUACUGAGACUAAUAAAAACAUUGUAGCUCUUGAAAAAUAUCUCCUACAAUUUAGUUUAAGUUCUGAAUGGAUCACAAUACAACCUGAU
This is a long non-coding RNA of Pyrgilauda ruficollis (rufous-necked snowfinch), 943 nucleotides long. RefSeq lists it as uncharacterized. The record is from RefSeq and is a predicted model, not a curated record. The transcript is spliced from 3 exons. Lineage: Eukaryota; Metazoa; Chordata; Aves; Passeriformes; Passeridae.